CUCGCCACUAUUAAACAGGUUGGUUUCGCAGACAUUUCAUUGACCUGUGCUUGAAAUUAUUAGGGCAAUAUUUGUGGAAGAAACGACGCAAAAGAAAUAGACGAGGAAGAAGUAGUCAGCUGACAACAACCUCCGCCCAGGGCCACCUCCAUCAUGAAGGACCCCUCCCACCCCUCACAUGGACUGUUUGCUGCCCUUCCAUCAGGAAAGACACCGCACAGCAUCAGAACCCACACAUCAAGGUUCUGCAGUAGCUUCUACCCACAGGCAGUCAGACUGUUGAACACCCUGCGGCUACAACACGUAGACCUGCACCCAUCACCCCCAUACCCCAGUCACAUUAAUCUCACUCAGUAUCACCCCACUAGCAAGUAUGAUUGUGUCUGAUGUAUGCUUGUGCUUUUGUUUCUUUUUUUAAAUCUAGUUUAGUCUUUUUAAAUGAUCUUACAUUUAUUUUUACCUUAUAUUUAUUCUUAAGUUUUUAUAGUAUUACCCUCAUUUCUGCACUGUGAAUGGAUGUGAGAAACGCCAUUUCGUUUAACUGUGUGCUACGUACACUGCUGAGUGACAAUAAAGCUGAAGUUGAAGUUGAACAUGGAUUUUACUGCAUUGUGGUUUUAAUGUGCAGUUUUCUGUCAUUUCUGUGCAGGUUAAUCAUGUAAAACUCAGCCCACAGUUGAUUUUUUAGCAUAUACGAAGCUCUUUUGAUGUUCACAUUCUCAGUGGCAUGUUGGAAAUGUAUAGAAAUAUACCUAAUUAGAAUAAUGUUCAUUUAUUUGGUAUUUUAUUAGUACAUAAUUGAAAAUAAAUGGUUAAAUAGG
This is a long non-coding RNA of Amphiprion ocellaris (clown anemonefish), 821 nucleotides long. RefSeq lists it as uncharacterized. NCBI's taxonomy places the organism in Eukaryota, Metazoa, Chordata, Actinopteri, Pomacentridae. The transcript is spliced from 2 exons. The record is from RefSeq and is a predicted model, not a curated record.